Molecule: ribosomal RNA, 46 nt
Filed under: Matelea parvifolia
Lineage: Eukaryota; Viridiplantae; Streptophyta; Magnoliopsida; Gentianales; Apocynaceae
Description: partial 18S ribosomal RNA
Rfam family: Eukaryotic small subunit ribosomal RNA
Source: RNAcentral
AAGUCGUASCAAGGUUUCCGUAGGUGAACCUGCGGAAGGAUCAUUG